RNAcentral lists this ribosomal RNA (484 nucleotides) under uncultured bacterium. RNAcentral describes it as "partial 16S ribosomal RNA". It matches the Rfam family "Bacterial small subunit ribosomal RNA", at positions 30 to 507 of the family's 1533-position model. The record is from RNAcentral.
AUUGAACGCUGGCGGCAGGCCUAACACAUGCAAGUCGAGCGGAUGAAGGGAGCUUGCUCCUGGAUUCAGCGGCGGACGGGUGAGUAAUGCCUAGGAAUCUGCCUGGUAGCGGGGGAUAACGUCCGGAAACGGGCGCUAAUACCGCAUACGUCCUUAGGGAGAAAGUGGGGGAUCUUCGGACCUCACGCUAUCAGAUGAGCCUAUGUCGGAUUAGCUAGUUGGUGGGGUAAAGGCCUACCAAGGCGACGAUCCGUAACUGGUCUGAGAGGAUGAUCAGUCACACUGGAACUGAGACACGGUCCAGACUCCUACGGGAGGCAGCAGUGGGGAAUAUUGGACAAUGGGCGAAAGCCUGAUCCAGCCAUACCGCGUGUGUGAAGAAGGUCUUCGGAUUGUAAAGCACUUUAGGUUGGGAAGAAGGGCAGUAGGUUAAUACCUUGCUGUUUUGACGUUACCAACAGAAUAAGCACCGGCUAACUUCGUG